Coregonus clupeaformis (lake whitefish) is the source of this 1953-nucleotide long non-coding RNA. RefSeq lists it as uncharacterized. The record is from RefSeq and is a predicted model, not a curated record. Lineage: Eukaryota; Metazoa; Chordata; Actinopteri; Salmoniformes; Salmonidae. The transcript has 3 exons.
ACCCUUCAGACUGUCACUACACCUUAGCUAGCUACUGCAUCGAUGGAUUCCCAGGAGAGAGAAAUUGCUAGAUUUAUAAAUAGUAAUGAUGUUGUGCUGGGAGCAGGUUCAGACGAUCAAUGGCGUCAACUUAUUGGCGACUACCUUUUGACCUGAGCCGGAGAGCGUGGCCAUCAGUGACUCCGCAAACGGCACAGACACCGACUCAGACAAGCUCACCGAAGUCGAGGCCGAGCCCCUUGAGGAGGCAACCGAGGAAGACCACCCGUUACUGGUGGAUCCGUCAAUUACGGUGCUUCAGUCGGUCGAGGGGGAAUAUGUCAGUGAUGCUGGGCAAGAAAUUGAAAAGGCUUGCGUGUUCAGGUGCACUUGCAAGUCCAACAAACGGGAGCCCUGCUAUUUGUUUUUUACCCCCGAGGAGAUAAGAGACGUGACCAGAUGAAUUUUCUCAUCAAUGAUGAAAAACAUAUAGUGCUCAUUGGCAGAUCGCUGGUUCCAUUAACCUCUCCAAGAAAACUGUCAGCUCCAAAAGGAGCAAACAAAAAGAAAGGAAACAUCAGAGAUCAUAUUUCCUUGAUAGCAAGCAAAUCUGCAGAGGAACAUUCAAGUUCCUAAAUGACUGACUGCAGUGAUAAAGUUCUACAAGGAACAUGGUGUGGUUCCAAGGAAGAAGAGGUGUGGUGGUUGUCUCUCAAGCAAACGGGUGCUGUCCUACGAGAACAUUCAGCUAAUCGUCCACUAUGUUAACAACUAUCGCCGAUGUCCACCAAUUCCGCUCCCAGGACAGAUCCCUGGAUUUAAGAGGGUAGACUCCUGGGUGCUACUGACAUUUGAGACCAAGUCCUCUGUGUAGUCUAAGUACAAAUAAGUUGAUGCGUUAUCAUGGUGAGUGUUUUCCUAAAUCUUGAUACUUAUAUUUGUAUCAAACGUUCAUCAGCUCAAGCCAGUGGACCAGUGGCAAAGACUCUAACCAAAGCCCACACGAAUCGGAUCCAAAGAGACUGUCAGUCCUUAGUCUCUGGUGACGUGUGUGUGGUCAGAUUUUCUUUAACGUUUCUCAUUUUAGUUGCUGCUUAGAGACCAGAGCUUACUCUGACCAUUUAUUAGCUCUCACCACCUCCAUCCCCUUCCCUGUUUUAGCUCUUUUCAGAUGUCGUUUACUCUGUAUGACUGUCAUAAAAAUGCAGGUCCUGGGUUUGUGAGAGGGUUGCUUGGGCACAUCUAUACACAUUCGCUGUGAUGUAUUUUUGACAGAUGUCAUUUAACGUGGUCAUUUAUUCAUUAUUUAUCCUCCCAAGCCUUAUCUCCAAAUCUAACAUGGAAAAACUAUGGGCCACAACCAUGAUAUGUUUGAGGACUACAUGGGAUGUGUACGCGUUUGUGUGCACGUGUCGGUGCACGUACAAGUACGCACAAACGCGUGCACACCGCAUGUAGUCCUCGCACAUAUCAUGGAGUGAACAUGUGCAGCGUGAGUGUAUUUCUCUGUCAUACAUAUAUGUAUGUGCACGUGUACAUGUGCAUGCACGCACGUGCGCACGUGUGAAAAUAAGUAAAUGUAGUCAAUAUGCAUAUACGUGCAUGUGUGUGUGCAACAACGAUGCAGGCAGACACUGUCUAGUUAGAGCAAGAUGUAAUUUAUAUGUAGCCUGUGUGUGUGUGUGUGCGUCUGUGAGUGAGUGAGUGUGUUGUUAUUAAUUAUUUGAAUAAAUGUCUAAAAUUAACUGCAAACUUUGACAGCGUUUUUCUCAAAAACAUGGUUUGGUGAGAUUCAGCAUGUAAUGGCACAUAACUCGCUUGGUAUUUGCAGUAGAGAGAUCAUGUUGGUCUCAUUAGAAAGCUAACAUUCUCUUCUUUCCAGCACUGUAUAAAACUUCAAAUGUGUUUUGGGGUCAAUGUAACUGAUUAUGAUAGAACAAGUCACAUAUGUUACAAAUUACAAUUCGUAUUAUA